This 555-nucleotide long non-coding RNA is filed under the name Pan troglodytes (chimpanzee). RNAcentral's name for it is "lincRNA". The record is from RNAcentral. Lineage: Eukaryota; Metazoa; Chordata; Mammalia; Primates; Hominidae.
UCUAUAUUUCCCCGUGAGGAUGAACUGAUGGUCCAUUUUCAUAGAUCCAACUGCCACCUUUAUGCCCAGGAGUCCCAAAUCUAUAGCUCUAGUUUUACUCCCCUGAAAUCCACACAGACUUUCCAAAUGCCUGCUAGACAUCAUGAGGAUAUCUUGCUAAUAUACCCCCCACCAAGCUCAUUGUCUUUUCAUCCAGAUUUUUCCUCCUGCUUCUCCUCCCUCCCUUAAUGCCUUUAUCAUUGCCUUAGUGACCCCUGCUAUGAAAUCAACCAUUGUUUCCUUCUCUUAUCACCCUCUUUCCCCUAAGCCCUAUAACUCAUUUCCCGCAGUUUCCUUUACUUUUCACUCUUUCCCCAUUCCCCGCUACACAGACCCAGGAUUCAUCUCUUGCCUAAUAUUUUUCAAUUUCUUCCUAAUGAUUUUCCCUACCUUUGGUUUCAGAUCUCCAUUUUUCAGGGAUUUUUUUCCCCUAAAUUACAAAUAAUAUUUUCCUCUUGAAAUAUCUUACUGAUAUUUUGUUGCCUAAUUUAACAAAUAAAGCCCCAAAUUACUCCC